This 253-nucleotide ribosomal RNA is filed under the name uncultured bacterium. RNAcentral's name for it is "partial 16S ribosomal RNA". It matches the Rfam family "Bacterial small subunit ribosomal RNA", at positions 524 to 776 of the family's 1533-position model. The record is from RNAcentral.
GACAGAGGGUGCAAACGUUGUUCGGAAUUACUGGGCGUAAAGCGUGUGUAGGCGGUUGCGCAAGUCGGAUGUGAAAGCCCCGGGCUUAACCCGGGAAGUGCACUCGAAACUGCGUAGCUUGAGUAUCGGAGAGGUUGGUGGAAUUCUCGGUGUAGAGGUGAAAUUCGUAGAUAUCGAGAGGAACACCGGUGGCGAAGGCGGCCAACUGGACGAAUACUGACGCUGAGACACGAAAGCGUGGGGAGCAAACAGG